UUUUAUUAGAUCAAGACCAAUCGGACUUCGGUUCGUUUCUUGGUGACUCUGAAUAACUUUGUGCCGAUCGCAUGGUCUAGCACCGGCGACGCAUCUUUCAAAUGUCUGCCUUAUCAACUGUCGAUGGUAGGUUAUGCGCCUACCAUGGUUGCAACGGGUAACGGGGAAUCGGGGUUCGAUUCCGGAGAGGGAGCCUGAGAAACGGCUACCACAUCCAAGGAAGGCAGCAGGCGCGCAAAUUACCCACUCCCGGCACGGGGAGGUAGUGACGAAAAAUAACGAUGCAGGACUCAUCCGAGGCCCUGUGAUUGGAAUGAGUACACUUUAAAUCCUUUAACGAGGACCUAUUGGAGGGCAAGUCUGGUGCCAGCAGCCGCGGUAACUCCAGCUCCAAUAGCGUAUAUUAAAGUUGCUGCGGUUAAAAAGCUCGUAGUUGGAUAUCGGUCGCGAUCAGGUGGUGCCGCCUCGCGGUGUGCACUGCCUCGAUUGGACAAUCCACCGGACUGUCCGGGGUGCUCUUAACCGAGUGUCCUGGGUGGCCGGUACGUUUACUUUGAACAAAUUAGAGUGCUUAAAGCAGGUGCUCCGCGCCUGAAUAUCACAGCAUGGAAUGAUGGAAUAGGACCUCGGUCUUAUUUUGUUGGUUUUCUGGACUUGAGGUAAUGGUUAAUAGAGACAGACGGGGGCAUUCGUACUGCGACGCUAGAGGUGAAAUUCUUGGACCGUCGCAAGACGAACAACUGCGAAAGCAUUUGCCAAGAAUGUUUUCAUUAAUCAAGAACGAAAGUUAGAGGUUCGAAGGCGAUCAGAUACCGCCCUAGUUCUAACCAUAAACGAUGCCAACCAGCGAUCCGCAGACGUUACUUCAAUGACUCUGCGGGCAGCUUCCGGGAAACCAAAGUUUUUGGGUUCCGGGGGAAGUAUGGUUGCAAAGCUGAAACUUAAAGGAAUUGACGGA
Molecule: ribosomal RNA, 958 nt
Filed under: Branchinecta orientalis
Lineage: Eukaryota; Metazoa; Arthropoda; Branchiopoda; Anostraca; Branchinectidae
Description: SSU rRNA
Rfam family: Eukaryotic small subunit ribosomal RNA
Source: RNAcentral